AGGUAAGGUGGCCGAGAGGUAGGCGGUGGUCUGUAGUUCCACUUACGGAGGUUUAAGUCCUCUUCUUAUCA
RNAcentral lists this transfer RNA (71 nucleotides) under Craugastor rhodopis (polymorphic robber frog). RNAcentral describes it as "tRNA-Tyr". It matches the Rfam family "tRNA". From Rfam's summary of the family: Transfer RNA (tRNA) molecules are approximately 80 nucleotides in length. Their secondary structure includes four short double-helical elements and three loops (D, anti-codon, and T loops). The record is from RNAcentral. Lineage: Eukaryota; Metazoa; Chordata; Amphibia; Anura; Craugastoridae.